Molecule: long non-coding RNA, 320 nt
Organism: Helianthus annuus (common sunflower)
Lineage: Eukaryota; Viridiplantae; Streptophyta; Magnoliopsida; Asterales; Asteraceae
Exons: 4
Source: RefSeq, a predicted model, not a curated record
UCCAUAAUUUUUUCAAAUCAUCUUCCAAAAUAUGUUUCGGUUCCCAUCUUUAAUUGUGUUUCAUCGCACAAACCCUAAAUCUAUAAAUCCAUCUGAAUUCUGCGGUUUCUUCUCAUCGAUUAUUAGGGCAAACGAUUUAUCGAUCGUAUCUGUUUGUUCAUAUCUACUUGGCAUUCAAACGAUCUGUCAACCCUGAUUUAAGGUAUUUCGUAUGGCUGAAAGUUCAUCUAGUUUCAGAGGACCCUGCUUUUGUAGGCACAUGAAUAAAGCAGACGAAUUUAUUAUGUGUAUUCCAGAUGACGCUGUGUCCAAACUAUGGG